CGGAACACCAUCAACGACCCUCCAAAAACUGUGGGAAAGCUCCAAACGCAGAUCAAACACUCGAAUCUUGCGAUUUGCUAAGAUCCAGUGUAUUACACUUAUAUAUUUAUAGUUCUGUUGGUUUUAUUUUAAUUGGAUAUAUGUGAUUUUGUGAGAUUAAUAAAGUAUUUGUGGUUUUCUUGUGAGAUUAUGAAAAUGGUUUUUCUAUCUAUCGUGGUAGCUUAUUUUUAAAGAAAAAGAUUUUCAUGUGGGAAACGAUUUUAAAAAGGGUUUUUCGGUUUUCAUGAUUUUUAGUAUUUUAAAAUGAGUUUCUGAGUGAGAAACAUUUUUAACUAAUAGAUGUGGUUUUAUGAUGAAAAUAUGGUAAACUUGUGAUUGAAUGAAUGUAAGUUGGUUUCUGUGAUGUGGUGAUUGUAUAUAGAUGUUUAUACAAUGUGGUUGUAUCUUACACUUGUGCGACGCCGUGCAAAUACUGGAUAGACUCUGUCCGUGUGAACAGUAGAUUCUCUGUAUUUGUGGCGAAUCUGACAUCCCCUGGGGUCAAGGUUUAAAAAAAAAAAAAAAAAUUGGGCACUUUUGCAUCGAUUUAAAACUUCAAAGGCGUGAUAAAUCGGUAUCUCAAGGAGAAGAAGGAUCAGACUGGAGUAGGAUCGAAUCAGGAUAAAUUAUCUGUGUUAUCUAAGUUUGAUUUUUCUUCUUUUAUUCAGUUGUGCAAUUUUAUCUUGGUUUAAUUUUACUUGAGUUUUUAGUUGUCAACUAAUUCACCCCUUUUCUUAAUUGCCAUGCAUUUGAUCCUUCAAUCCUUUGGUUACUUAGUAAAUGAU
This 824-nucleotide long non-coding RNA is filed under the name Ananas comosus (pineapple). RNAcentral's name for it is "long non-coding RNA (ACOM_LNC021223)". The record is from RNAcentral. Lineage: Eukaryota; Viridiplantae; Streptophyta; Magnoliopsida; Poales; Bromeliaceae.